CCUACGGGAGGCAGCAGUGGGGAAUUUUGGACAAUGGGCGAAAGCCUGAUCCAGCAAUGCCGCGUGCAGGAAGAAGGCCUUCGGGUUGUAAACUGCUUUUGUACGGAACGAAACGGUCUGCUUUAAUACAGUGGGCUAAUGACGGUACCGUAAGAAUAAGCACCGGCUAACUACGUGCCAGCAGCCGCGGUAAUACGUAGGGUGCGAGCGUUAAUCGGAAUUACUGGGCGUAAAGCGUGCGCAGGCGGUUAUAUAAGACAGUUGUGAAAUCCCCGGGCUCAACCUGGGAAUUGCAUCUGUGACUGUAUAGCUAGAGUACGGUAGAGGGGGAUGGGAAUUCCGCGUGUAGCAGUGAAAUGCGUAGAUAUGCGGAGGAACACCGAUGGCGAAGGCAAUCCCCUGGACCUGUACUGACGCUCAUGCACGAAAGCGUGGGGAGCAAACAGGAUUAGAUACCCUGGUAGUCCACGCCCUAAACGAUGUCAACUGGUUGUUGGGUGCAUUAGUACUCAGUAACGAAGCUAACGCGUGAAGUUGACCGCCUGGGGAGUACGGCCGCAAGGUUGAAACUCAAAAGGAAUUGACGG
This 587-nucleotide ribosomal RNA is filed under the name uncultured bacterium. Its description in RNAcentral is "bacterial SSU rRNA". It matches the Rfam family "Bacterial small subunit ribosomal RNA", at positions 338 to 916 of the family's 1533-position model. The record is from RNAcentral.